AUUUGACGGCCGAUGGGAGCGCUAGUUUUAACAGAGAAAUCAAGAAACAAAUCGCGUUAGUCAUUUGAUCACAUCGACAAAAGUUCUCCCAGUCUCUGACCGCGCGUCCGAUUUCCCGACCGUUCAGUCCGCCUUUGGCGAACAAUGACAGUCAAUGUUAAAAUAUUUGGUUCAACUGUUUAUUUUUCAAAAUUUUUUUGAGUAAAAUCUGAAGAUUAUCCAAAUUGCAUGAGACAGUAUAAAGCAUUAUUUUAAAAUUGUUGGAUCGCGUUGGGCCAACGUUGUUACAUUGUUGCGUAAAAACAAGUUCCCACAAUCACCCUCAACCAAUACUUGCCUUUCAAGCUGGUUGACCCGGGUUCAAUCCUUUGUCGGGCCUCUAAUCAAGGUCUUAAAAUAACUGAGGAAAAAGUGCUACCUUCAGGGACGUCGCUAUAGGGGAGGGGUGUAACACACCCCCAAUAAUUCAAACGUUGGUCAAAGUUGGUCAAAAUGGAACUGAUAUUUGCCCACAGUUGGUCAAAUGGAACAGAAAUUUGCUUAAUUAAAAUUGAAGGUAAAACUCGGAAAAAUUUGGUCAAAGUUUGGGAUAAAAGAUGGUCGAAGUUGCUCAAAGUUAUGAAAUGGUUCGCAAUUUUAACAAUUUUAAAGCUUUUGUUAUGUUUGCGGUGAAAAAAUUGGAAGCCUUGUUUAUCUUGGUCCAAAAAUUUUUAAUAUGCUUAUGUUAGGCCGGAAAAAUGUUUUCGACUGUGCUUAUUUUAGUCCGGAAAAUUUUUUUGACUCCCCCACCCCCCCGUCGACAACAUUUUCAGGAGAAAUUCGUACGGCUUGGUCAAAAUCCUAGGAAAUGUUG
Molecule: non-coding RNA, 853 nt
Organism: Paramuricea clavata
Lineage: Eukaryota; Metazoa; Cnidaria; Anthozoa; Malacalcyonacea; Plexauridae
Source: the annotation of a GenBank genome assembly